Molecule: long non-coding RNA, 1075 nt
Filed under: Monodelphis domestica (gray short-tailed opossum)
Lineage: Eukaryota; Metazoa; Chordata; Mammalia; Didelphimorphia; Didelphidae
Description: lncRNA (ENSMODG00000047957.1)
Source: RNAcentral
GGUCAUGUUCUGGGUCUUUCGGGGCGCUUUGGGUCUGGGGGGCUUUUGCCACCCCUUUUCCCAGGUCCCCCCUAUCGGCUGUUGUGGCGCCCUUCAGUUCUGCUUUUGACCCUCUUGGGUGGGUCCAGGUUUGGCGGCUGUCCCGCGGCCGCCCUGUUUUUCUCCCUUUUGCCCCGGGGGGAGCCCCUGCCUGCCUCCCGCCGUUUUGUGCCUCAAGCCCAUCUUGGGGAGCCAAGAAGAGCCGCUGCCUCGGGGGGCAGCUCCUGGCCGGGCGUUUUUUCUCGCACCCUCAGGAUCGCCUCCACGCGGGGGGGGGGGGGGGGUCCUGGGGCCGGUCUGCUCUGCUGGUUUGGACAAGCAGUUCCUCCUGGGGGGCUGCGCCGGGGAGCCCCCCAGGAACCCUCCGGGGGCUCUCCCGGGCUGGCCGUGUGCUGUGCGGGGCUUCACGAGGAGGCGAGCGCCGGUGCCUACGGGAGGAGGCGGAGAGAUCCACUGAGGAGGCCUCCGGUGGGGCUCUAGGCUGGGCUCUCCCGAGAAGGCCCAGGCGGACGAGCUCCCCUUUCUGCCCAAAGGAGCCUCGGGGUCUCUCGGAGUCCGGGGAGAAGACAUCCCUCUAUCCAGGGCGGCGGGCCGGUGCCCCGCUUUCCGCUUUGUCCCAUAAUGGCCCCCAGGGAUGCCGCUCUUCCAGGAGCAGCCGGGUACGAGGAGAAAACCCAGAUUUAGAGACAAAGGAUCCAAAUUCAAAUCCCGCCUGCGUCCCUUCCCAUAUCAUUUUGAACAUGUUGCUGGGCCUCGGCGUCCCCUUCUGUAAAAAUAAGGCACUGAAGGAGAGGAGCUCUGAAGCAACUUGUGAGCAAAGUGUAGCAUCCUGCAAUGCUGUAGGACCCAUUUAUUCAGGUGAGAAAUAUUUGGUGAAAAGGAGGAGGGGGCAGAGCCAGGCCUGGAGAUGGAGGGUCCUGAGUUCAAAUCUGGCCACAGAUAUUGCCUUGCUGGGUGACCCUGGGCAAGUCCCUUAACCCCCAUUGCCAGCCCUUCCUGCUGAUCUGCCGUGANNNNNNNNNNNNNNNNNNNNNNN